UUUCCGUAGGUGAACCUGCGGAAGGAUCAUUGUCGAGACCGAAACACAUCGAGCGAUUCGGAGAACUCGUGAAGCGAGCGGCGGCGUCUGCCGCCGCGGGACGACCGUCCCGGCCGUCGCCUCGUCCCCUCCUGGGAGGGGCGCGGGGGGCGCGGCCGGGGACGGAUGAAAACAAAAACCGGCGCAGCUCCGCGCCAAGGGAAAUACGAAAGGCACGGGCCCCGCGUCGGGCUCGGUGGCGUGGAGCGCCGUCGCGCUCCAUGCGGAUGGACAUGACUCUCGGCAAUGGAUAUCUCGGCUCUC
Molecule: unclassified non-coding RNA, 303 nt
Filed under: soil metagenome
Description: partial contains small subunit ribosomal RNA, internal transcribed spacer 1, and 5.8S ribosomal RNA
Source: RNAcentral